AAAAAGACAAACCCUGAUUUUCGUGUCCAACGUUUGACCGUCCGUCUUAUUUGAAAAAAUUAUAAAAAAAAUUAAAAAGACAAGUCACGCAUAAAAUAUUAAUCAUGAUUUAUCAUCUAACAACAAUAAAAAUACUAAUUAUAAAAAAAUUUUAUAUAAGACGGACAGUCAAAAUUGGACACGGAAAUUCAGAGUUUGUUUUUUU
RNAcentral lists this microRNA precursor (205 nucleotides) under Oryza glumipatula. Its description in RNAcentral is "MIR812 microRNA precursor family". It matches the Rfam family "MIR812 microRNA precursor family". Lineage: Eukaryota; Viridiplantae; Streptophyta; Magnoliopsida; Poales; Poaceae. The record is from Rfam by way of RNAcentral.